Molecule: ribosomal RNA, 482 nt
Filed under: uncultured bacterium
Lineage: Bacteria
Description: partial 16S ribosomal RNA
Rfam family: Bacterial small subunit ribosomal RNA
Source: RNAcentral
GAUGAACGCUGGCGGCGUGCCUAAUACAUGCAAGUCGAACGCUUCACUUCGGUGAAGAGUGGCGAACGGGUGAGUAAUACAUAAGUAACCUGGCAUCUACAGGGGGAUAACUGAUGGAAACGUCAGCUAAGACCGCAUAGGUGUAGAGAUCGCAUGAACUCUAUAUGAAAAGUGCUACGGGACUGGUAGAUGAUGGACUUAUGGCGCAUUAGCUUGUUGGUAGGGUAACGGCCUACCAAGGCGACGAUGCGUAGCCGACCUGAGAGGGUGACCGGCCACACUGGGACUGAGACACGGCCCAGACUCCUACGGGAGGCAGCAGUAGGGAAUUUUCGGCAAUGGGGGAAACCCUGACCGAGCAACGCCGCGUGAAGGAAGAAGUAAUUCGUUAUGUAAACUUCUGUCAUAGAGGAAGAACGGUGGAUAUAGGGAAUGAUACCCAAGUGACGGUACUCUAUAAGAAAGCCACGGCUAACUACGUG